RNAcentral lists this ribosomal RNA (253 nucleotides) under uncultured bacterium. Its description in RNAcentral is "partial 16S ribosomal RNA". It matches the Rfam family "Bacterial small subunit ribosomal RNA", at positions 524 to 776 of the family's 1533-position model. The record is from RNAcentral.
UACAGAGGGUGCGAGCGUUAAUCGGAAUUACUGGGCGUAAAGCGCACGUAGGCGGCUUGGUAUGUCGGGUGUGAAAUCCCCUGGCUCAACCUGGGAACUGCAUCCGAAACUGCCUUGCUCGAGUAUGGGAGAGGGAAGUGGAAUUUCCGGUGUAGCGGUGAAAUGCGUAGAUAUCGGAAGGAACAUCAGUGGCGAAGGCGACUUCCUGGACCAAUACUGACGCUCAGGUGCGAAAGCGUGGGGAGCAAACAGG